UACGUAGGGUGCAAGCGUUGUCCGGAAUUAUUGGGCGUAAAGAGCUCGUAGGCGGUUUGUCGCGUCUGCUGUGAAAACUCGGGGCUUAACUCCGGGCCUGCAGUGGGUACGGGCAGACUAGAGUGCGGUAGGGGAGAUUGGAAUUCCUGGUGUAGCGGUGGAAUGCGCAGAUAUCAGGAGGAACACCGGUGGCGAAGGCGGCAUCCUGGACCGGCAUUGACGCUGAGGCGCGAAAGCCAGGGGAGCAAACGGG
This 253-nucleotide ribosomal RNA is filed under the name uncultured bacterium. Its description in RNAcentral is "partial 16S ribosomal RNA". It matches the Rfam family "Bacterial small subunit ribosomal RNA", at positions 524 to 776 of the family's 1533-position model. The record is from RNAcentral.